UCGAGGGGCAGCAUUUUAGUUUGCUUGCAAACUGAAGAUGGCGACCGGCGCACGGGUGAGUAACACGUAUCCAACCUGCCGAUAACUCCGGGAUAGCCUUUCGAAAGAAAGAUUAAUACCGGAUGGCAUACGAAUAUCGCAUGAUAUUUUUAUUAAAGAAUUUCGGUUAUCGAUGGGGAUGCGUUCCAUUAGUUUGUUGGCGGGGUAACGGCCCACCAAGACUACGAUGGAUAGGGGUUCUGAGAGGAAGGUCCCCCACAUUGGAACUGAGACACGGUCCAAACUCCUACGGGAGGCAGCAGUGAGGAAUAUUGGUCAAUGGGCGAGAGCCUGAACCAGCCAAGUAGCGUGAAGGAUGAAGGCUCUAUGGGUCGUAAACUUCUUUUAUAUGGGAAUAAAGUUUUCCACGUGUGGAAUUUUGUAUGUACCAUAUGAAUAAGGAUCGGCUAACUCCGUGCCAGCAGCCGCGGUAAUACGGAGGAUCCGAGCGUUAUCCGGAUUUAUUGGGUUUAAAGGGAGCGUAGGUGGAUUGUUAAGUCAGUUGUGAAAGUUUGCGGCUCAACCGUAAAAUUGCAGUUGAAACUGGCAGUCUUGAGUACAGUAGAGGUGGGCGGAAUUCGUGGUGUAGCGGUGAAAUGCUUAGAUAUCACGAAGAACUCCGAUUGCGAA
Molecule: ribosomal RNA, 669 nt
Filed under: uncultured Bacteroidales bacterium
Lineage: Bacteria; Pseudomonadati; Bacteroidota; Bacteroidia; Bacteroidales
Description: bacterial SSU rRNA
Rfam family: Bacterial small subunit ribosomal RNA
Source: RNAcentral